RNAcentral lists this ribosomal RNA (253 nucleotides) under uncultured bacterium. RNAcentral's name for it is "partial 16S ribosomal RNA". It matches the Rfam family "Bacterial small subunit ribosomal RNA", at positions 524 to 776 of the family's 1533-position model. The record is from RNAcentral.
UACGAAGGGGGCUAGCGUUGCUCGGAAUUACUGGGCGUAAAGGGAGCGUAGGCGGAUAGUUUAGUCAGAGGUGAAAGCCCAGGGCUCAACCCUGGAAUUGCCUUUGAUACUGGCUAUCUUGAGUGUGGGAGAGGUUAGCGGAACUCCGAGUGUAGAGGUGAAAUUCGUAGAUAUCGAGAGGAACACCGGUGGCGAAGGCGGCCUUCUGGACAGUGACUGACGCUGAGACGCGAAAGCGUGGGGAGCAAACAGG